UAGUAAGAAAGCUCUUUUGAUCUUUUGCAACAGCAGUGGGGAGCAUGAGAAGGAAGGAUAUCACUGUGGUGAAAAUGCAGAAGCCUCUCACGGCGACGGUAAGUAUUUUUUUGGUCAUCAUCCAAGUUGGUGUGUUUUAGAAUCAAUAUGUCAUAUAUUGUAGUGUUCUAUCACCCUUGUUGAGUCCUAAGCUUGCAAAUGCUGUGGCUGUUUCCUGUUGCAGUUUUGCUACGGCAUGCAUGAACUUAAACAUGAAUGAUGAAAGCGAGCAAACGGCCAGUCGUUGAUUCAGCAUGUCCAGGACGGCGUUGCCGAGUACCACAUGCCUGCUUGGCUCCGUUGCUGUCUGAUUCCCCCAGGUGUCUGGUGACAAACAGAACGUUGUAUUGGACAGGGUUAUGGCAUUCAAACCAGAAUAUUUGACUGGUAAUUUCUAUGUAAUAUGUUAGGAAUAUUUAUAGAACCGUUAUACUUAUGAUAGAUAAGUAUUAUGAAAGUGAUGUCUGAGAAAUAUACUGGGAUAAUUUCCCUGUACCAAAUACGAAUGUUUACUCCAUUCCAUCCG
RNAcentral lists this long non-coding RNA (565 nucleotides) under Oryza sativa (Asian cultivated rice). Its description in RNAcentral is "long non-coding RNA (OSAT_LNC001087)". Lineage: Eukaryota; Viridiplantae; Streptophyta; Magnoliopsida; Poales; Poaceae. The record is from RNAcentral.